UACGAAGGGGGCGAGCGUUGUUCGGAAUCACUGGGCGUAAAGGGCGCGUAGGCGGCCAUGUAAGUCAGGUGUGAAAGCCCUCGGCUUAACUGAGGAAGUGCAUCCAAAACUGAGUAGCUAGAGUACGAAAGAGGGUCGCGGAAUUCCCGGUGUAGAGGUGAAAUUCGUAGAUAUCGGGAGGAACACCGGUGGCGAAGGCAGGUCUCUGGGCCGAUACUGACGCUGAGGAGCGAAAGCGUGGGGAGCGAACAGG
Molecule: ribosomal RNA, 253 nt
Filed under: uncultured bacterium
Lineage: Bacteria
Description: partial 16S ribosomal RNA
Rfam family: Bacterial small subunit ribosomal RNA
Source: RNAcentral